AGGACUGCAAAAGGUGAUCGCUCUUUUCCUUGAGAAAAGAGAGGAAAGUCCGGACUCCACAGGGCAGGAUGGUGGGUAACACCCACCGGGGGCGACCCCAGGGAAAGUGCCACAGAAAAUAUACCGCCAGACCUUCUGUCUGGUAAGGGUGAAAAGGCGAGGUAAGAGCUCACCGCCAGAAUGGUGACAUUCUGGGCAGGGCAAACCCCAUCCGGAGCAAGGCCAAAUAAGAGAGGUAUGAAGUGGCCCGCUUCCUUUGCCUCUCGGGUAGGCUGCUAGAGUCUUGAAGCAAUUCAAGGCCCAGAUAAAUGAUCACCCCUUUUCGAAAAUUCUGAAAAGGACAGAAUCCGGCUUAUUUUGCAGUCCUUCCU
This 371-nucleotide RNase P RNA is filed under the name Planctomycetota bacterium. Its description in RNAcentral is "Planctomycetes bacterium RNase P RNA component class A". It matches the Rfam family "Bacterial RNase P class A". Rfam says of the family: Ribonuclease P (RNase P) is a ubiquitous endoribonuclease, found in archaea, bacteria and eukarya as well as chloroplasts and mitochondria. Its best characterised activity is the generation of mature 5'-ends of tRNAs by cleaving the 5'-leader elements of precursor-tRNAs. The record is from RNAcentral. Lineage: Bacteria; Pseudomonadati; Planctomycetota.